UAGUGUGUCGAUGAAGAGCGCAGCAAACUGUGUGAAUUAAUGUGAACUGCGUACUGCUUUGAGCAUCGACAUCUUGAACGCAUAUUGCGGCCAUGGGCUAGCCUGUGGCCACGCCUGUCCGAGGGUCG
This 128-nucleotide ribosomal RNA is filed under the name Prosorhynchus sp. ex Plectropomus laevis TLM-2012. Its description in RNAcentral is "partial 5.8S ribosomal RNA". It matches the Rfam family "5.8S ribosomal RNA", at positions 29 to 154 of the family's 154-position model. Rfam says of the family: 5.8S ribosomal RNA (5.8S rRNA) is a component of the large subunit of the eukaryotic ribosome. Lineage: Eukaryota; Metazoa; Platyhelminthes; Trematoda; Strigeidida; Bucephalidae. The record is from RNAcentral.